Long non-coding RNA from Syngnathus typhle (broad-nosed pipefish), 1961 nucleotides. RefSeq lists it as uncharacterized. NCBI's taxonomy places the organism in Eukaryota, Metazoa, Chordata, Actinopteri, Syngnathiformes, Syngnathidae. The transcript is spliced from 2 exons. The record is from RefSeq and is a predicted model, not a curated record.
UAACACGCAGUCGUCGGAUGACGAGGAAGCGGAGGAUGACAUCUUUCUCACACAUCUGCCCCGUUGAUUCUUUAUCACAGCGACACAUGCACGACACAGUCGGCACGGAAUCGCGUGUUUAGAUGGACCGCGUUGGAUUCGGGAGGUGAGGUGCGGACAACUGCACUCAUCAAGUCAGCCAUCUUAACUUUCAAAAUGCUGAAUAUGGUUAAUUCUAACAAACAUCAAAGCGGCGUGGAAAACCAGGAGACCAUCUUGAAGUCACCACCGCCAAUAUGUAUGGAGAAAUGGGAGCCAAUGCACCAGGCCAGGCGUCUGCUGGGCCUUUCAUGCACUUCCCCUGGAUAAGAACAAGGGCGAGCAAGGAUGCUGGGAGGUGAAGCAGAGAAUGAGGAAUUUAAGAGUGCCCAGAAGAAAGUGACGGACGGCAAGGAAGUCGUUGGGGGAUGCCAAGGAUUAAAAAGAACUCCACCGUGGGUGACCUUUGAAUAAACAUGAUAGUUGUAUUUUCAAACGGAUAAUGGCCAAUAGCUGGCUCCUACUUUACUUUAACAAACUCCCAUUAAGACCAGACAAGCACCAGUUAAAGCAUGUAAAUGAAAAUCUGUUUUUUUUUUAAUCGUUCAGACUAAUUUGAUGUCUCGUACGUUUGUGUUCUAUUUGUCCACCUGCUGAUCGCCAUUCCUCUUAGGGGAAACCAAAACAACAACGAGCGCUUUGUCCGGGCUUCAGCUGCUUGGCAAAGUCGCUGAGAGCGACUUAUGCUCGGCCGCGGUUCACCUCAUGACAAAAAAUGACGCAAGAUUGAGGAAGAGAAAAAUAUUCUCUUGCCUCUGGCAAGGCUGCUCUGACACUCACCUCUGUCAGAUGUGCCUCUGGGGAGGCUCGCCUUACUCUUGCUGGAGGUGCCACUCUAAAAAGUGCCUUGAUAUCAUUCGGCUGGAUAUCUUCUCUUUUAUACAACAUUUAAUUGUCUAAAUUGAACCGUUUAUAGUGUGUGUGUGUGUGUGUGUGUGUGUGUGUGUGCGUGUGUGCAUGCGCGUGCGCGUGCGCGCACGCGCACGCGCGUGCGUGCGUGUGCGUGCGUGUGCGUGCGUGUGCGUGCGCGUGCGUGUGCGUGCGUGUGCGUGCGUGUGCGUGCGUGUGUGUGCGUGUGUGUGCGCGUGUGUGCGCGUGUGUGCGCGUGUGUGCGUGUGUGUGCAGUACAUAAGAAGCAUAAUUAGAGUAGUGUAAAGAUUCCCAAAAUGUCACUUAAAUAGUGUCAUAUAUACCGUAAUUUUCAGACUAUAAGACGCGUUUUUUUUCAUCGUUUGGGUGGGGGGGCGACUUAUACUCAGGAGCAACUUAUAUACAUAUAUAUGUUUUUUUUUCACUUUUUUGGGCAUUUUAUGGCUGGUGCGACUUAUACUCCGGUGCGAUUUAUAGUCCGAAAAUUACGGUACUAUAUAUAUAUAGACACUUAUCCGGUGAAGAAGAAAAAAAAAAAGAUACUAAACAAAAAAUGCUAUCUGGCAAGAAUGAUUAAAACGAUAAGCUCUCUGCUGUCUGUUAUCAGUCCAGAUAUGUCAACUUGUUGUAUCAGUUGGACUUUAAAACUUUAAAAGGAAACACUUUGGUAAGAUGGCCGUGCGUACAUCUGGGAGCUUCUCUUCUGCUUCGAUUUCCAGAGAUGAUGCCAAAUUUCUGCCUCUGAGGACACGUCUUCCCGGUCGGUGGUUCAAGGCACACGGAUAUCUGCUAGAUAGAUAGUAGCUACCUUUCUUUAAGCAUACAAAAUGUAUUAUGAGUCCACAGUAUGAGUAUUAUGAGUAAGAAAAAGCUCAUUGGUAUCAUUGAAUUCUUUCAUCCACUCUCAAAUGGAGGAAACAUUUUACUAGGAAUCAGGCUGAGCAGAAUCAAUAAUGGAAUCAUUCAAUUUAUACUCAUCACCAUUAAAAAAUCAUAACAAGACAUGAAAGAGG